This is a long non-coding RNA of Rhagoletis zephyria (snowberry fruit fly), 191 nucleotides long. RefSeq lists it as uncharacterized. Lineage: Eukaryota; Metazoa; Arthropoda; Insecta; Diptera; Tephritidae. The record is from RefSeq and is a predicted model, not a curated record.
GUGACUCUUGGCAACAGCGGAGCAACGGCUGAGCAACGGUGAGGGCGCUAGCAGCACGGCAGGUGACUCUUGGCAACAGCGGAGCAACGGUGGGAGCGCUAGCAGCGCGGCGGGUGAUUCUCAACAACUGCUGAGCAACGAUCUUCGGCAGCGGGUGACUUCUAACAGCAACGGGUUGUUCGUACUGGCAC